Oncorhynchus tshawytscha (Chinook salmon) is the source of this 366-nucleotide long non-coding RNA. NCBI's taxonomy places the organism in Eukaryota, Metazoa, Chordata, Actinopteri, Salmoniformes, Salmonidae. The record is from Ensembl.
GUUGUGAUGAAUGGUGUUCGAUAGGCACAGAGAGUCAGGCAGAGGGAGUCAGGCACAGGGAGUCAGGCAGAGGGAGUCAGGCACAGGGAGUCAGGCAGAGGGAGUCAGGCACAGGGAGUCAGGCAGAGGGAGUCAGGCACAGGGAGUCAGGCACAGGGAGUCAGGCACAGGGAGUCAGGCAGAGGGAGUCAGGCACAGGGAGUCAGGCAGAGGGAGUCAGGCAGAGGGAGUCAGGCACAGGGAGUCAGGCACAGGGAGUCAGGCACAGGGAGUCAGGCACAGGGAGUCAGGCAGAGGGAGUCAGGCACAGGGAGUCAGGCACAGGGAGUCAGGCACAGGGAGUCAGGCAGAGGGAGUCAGGCACAG